Molecule: long non-coding RNA, 529 nt
Organism: Xiphophorus couchianus (Monterrey platyfish)
Lineage: Eukaryota; Metazoa; Chordata; Actinopteri; Cyprinodontiformes; Poeciliidae
Exons: 2
Source: RefSeq, a predicted model, not a curated record
CUACCAUCUGCCGUACGGGAGAAAACACAGGACAACAGGAAAUACGGCGGCCAUCUUGGAGCGGUCGUCCCUUCUUUGCUAAACCAAGACAGCAGAAGAUAUUAGCUGUAAUAAUUGUAAUUUUAAAAGGUCAGACAUUGCAGCAGACAGAGGAAGAAAUCAUCUUUCAACAUAACCCAAAAUGUUCACAUAUUCUACUUCUGGUGGAGCACUUUGCAACAAAAGUUGAUUUAUUUUACACAUAUGCAAGAUCAAACAUUUUUAAGAUGUUAACCCAUGGCUUUGUGAGAUCCCUCGACAUUGUACGACUAAUGUACAAUUUCAUCAAGUUAAUAUUUAUUAUUCCAACGGGUACGUUAGUAAGGUGUGUGGUAAAGUGGUCCAAUAGCUCUCAGAAAUGAGCAAUUGAGAAAAAAAUAUUUUUUUAAACCCUUUAUUGUGAAGUAUUCGCAACAAAUGUAUUAGAAAUGUUUUGAAUAAGCAAAAAUACUUAUAUGCAGACAGAAAGCAUUAAAAUUUUAAAAGCACA